AAUUGUGGUUCCAAAUCAAGAACUCAAAGAAGAAAAAACCCUGCUCGAUCUAAAGAAUUCGUUUUCGACAUAGUUUAAGAGCUUAAAUAUUGCCACAUCUAGCUUCUUAUCGAUGGCUUUGUUGCCUGGUUUCUUUAGUUGCUUCUCGGAUUCUGGCAGGAUUGCAUGUGAAGGAGAGGGAAGUUCAGAAAGAAGAUUGAACAAAGAGGACGAGGUUAACGAAGACAAGUCCAUGAAGAAGAACAAGUCGACUAGCAAAAGCCGCCCUCCAAUUCCUGUGGCAUAUUUUCCUCUUGGAAUAAGAUUUUCUCACUUGUGAUCACGAGCAUUUCAGCUAGCUAAAGAUCAUUUUAUGAUAUAGUGUUACUUCCAAUCUUGUAUUGAAGUCAAAGUAAAGAAAAUACACUCGAUUACCAAAUAGUCAAUAAAAUUUAGCAAGAGAGAUCAUAUGAUUCAGUAAUAAUAAAUAGCCAGACAAUUACCUCAGAUAUCCCUUCAACUUGAAGCCCACAGAUUGAAAAUGAAGAAAAUGAUGCUCCAAAUUCCCCUCUUCUUAGGAUAACAUCAUGCUUGCAAUCAUCAUUAAUUUUCUACUCUAUGCCCUACCAGCUCCUUUCACUCUUCUUAGAUCAACUUCUUUUUCUUUUUCCCAUGAACUUUUCAACACCUACCUCUUCAAGAAAACAAAAUUACGUUAGGUGGAGGACUUAAUGCAACAUCCAAAAGAAAAUAAAUAGAAUUAGUAUGAGGAUUUGAUUCAACUACCUGAGGAAAUUUGUGGUUUGUGAAGGGAAGCUGUGACAGGGACACUCUUUGUUUUCUUUAUAGAAAAUUCGUGUACAUAUAUUAUAAUCCUCCCACAGAUUCUCCUGUAAACAGACUAGUAGACAACUCCAUCACAUUGUGGGAUGAUUGGCAGAUGGGUAAAAAAUGGUGCAGUGUUUAACAUAAUCAAAGAAUUUAGUUGACUAAUAACUAUAAUCGCAUGUCCUCAACAUAAAUUUUCAUUUGGGUAUUAAGAUUUGAAUUCCAACUUAAUUGUAUUAAUUAAAUAUAUCGAGAAUUAUAUGCGGCAAAAUAUUAUUGUGUCUCAUACACUAACUCUAAGGUCAUACGAUAUAUUAUUGCAGGUAUAUGAUAUUGUGGGAUGAUUGGCAAAUGAGGAGACAAGGAUCGAUAUUAGGGGUGAUCAUUUUCGGUUCGGUUCGGUUUUUAUCAAAAAAAGUAACCAAACCGAAAUUUUUUUUUUUUGAAAAAAAAAACCGAAACCGAACCGAAACCGGG
RNAcentral lists this long non-coding RNA (1284 nucleotides) under Populus trichocarpa (black cottonwood). RNAcentral's name for it is "long non-coding RNA (PTRI_LNC002636)". Lineage: Eukaryota; Viridiplantae; Streptophyta; Magnoliopsida; Malpighiales; Salicaceae. The record is from RNAcentral.